This 775-nucleotide ribosomal RNA is filed under the name uncultured Rhizophagus. RNAcentral describes it as "SSU rRNA". It matches the Rfam family "Eukaryotic small subunit ribosomal RNA", at positions 338 to 1114 of the family's 1831-position model. Lineage: Eukaryota; Fungi; Glomeromycota; Glomeromycetes; Glomerales; Glomeraceae. The record is from RNAcentral.
GGCCUACCAUGGUGGUAACGGGUAACGGGGUGUUAGGGCACGACACCGGAGAGGGAGCCUGAGAAACGGCUACCACAUCCAAGGAUGGCAGCAGGCGUGCAAAUUACCCAAUCCCGACACGGGGAGGUAGUGACAAUAAAUAACAAUACGGGGUUCUUUUGGAUCUCGUAAUUGGAAUGAGUACAAUUUAAAUCUCUUAACGAGGAACAAUUGGAGGGCAAGUCUGGUGCCAGCAGCCGCGGUAAUUCCAGCUCCAAUAGCGUAUAUUAAAGUUGUUGCAGAUAAAAAGCUCGUAGUUGAAUUUCGGGGUCAGUAGGUUGGUCGUGCCACUGGUAUGCACUGGUCUCACUGAUUCCUCCUUCCUGAUGAACCGUAAUGCCAUUAAUUUGGUGUUGCGGGGAAUCUAGACUGUUACUUUGAAAAAAUUAGAGUGUUUAAAGCAGGCUAACGCUUGAAUACAUUAGCAUGGAAUAAUGAAAUAGGACGAUCGAUCCUAUUUUGUUGGUUUCUAGGAUUGACGUAAUGAUUAAUAGGGAUAGUUGGGGGCAUUAGUAUUCAAUUGUCAGAGGUGAAAUUCUUGGAUUUAUUGAAGACUAACUACUGCGAAAGCAUUUGCCAAGGAUGUUUUCAUUAAUCAAGAACGAAAGUUAGGGGAUCGAAGACGAUCAGAUACCGUCGUAGUCUUAACCAUAAACUAUGCCGACUAGGGAUCGGAUGAUGUUAAUUUUUUAAUGACUCAUUCGGCGCCUUACGGGAAACCAAAGUGUUUGGGUUC